UACGUAGGGUGCGAGCGUUAAUCGGAAUUACUGGGCGUAAAGCGUGCGCAGGCGGUUCGUUGUGUCGGCGGUGAAAGCCCCGGGCUUAACCUGGGAAUGGCCGUCGAAACUGGCGAACUGGAGUGUGGAAGAGGGGGGUGGAAUUCCGCGUGUAGCAGUGAAAUGCGUAGAGAUGCGGAGGAACACCGAUGGCGAAGGCAGCCCCCUGGGCUGACACUGACGCUCAGGCAAGAAAGCGUGGGGAGCAAACAGG
Molecule: ribosomal RNA, 253 nt
Filed under: uncultured bacterium
Lineage: Bacteria
Description: partial 16S ribosomal RNA
Rfam family: Bacterial small subunit ribosomal RNA
Source: RNAcentral